RNAcentral lists this long non-coding RNA (429 nucleotides) under Olea europaea (common olive). RNAcentral's name for it is "long non-coding RNA (OEUR_LNC002181)". The record is from RNAcentral. Lineage: Eukaryota; Viridiplantae; Streptophyta; Magnoliopsida; Lamiales; Oleaceae.
UGAAGAUUUGUGUGCUUCAUUUAGUCGCAUAAAGAAAGUUCAACUUUCUUGCAUAUUGGAUACAAUUAGAAUUUUGUUAAAAGUGCAUUUAUCUAGAUUGUCUAUGAUAUUUUUCAUUCCUUCCCUAGUUGAUUUCGUUUCUACUGACAAUGCCUUUUUUUGAGGUUCUGCAGAUUCUCUGGAGGCUCCAGGGAGUAAAACCAUGGAAUCAAAUCAUAUAGCGAAUGAAUUAAAUAAAGUCAUUGCUGGAGUACCCUCCAGAGAAUUUGAUAAUAAACCUCUUUCACAAUGGAUUAAAGAAAUACAGACUCCAAAUGCUGUUUUGGCAAAGCACCAAGUAUCUUCAAGGUGGGAGGCUUUUUCCUAUAUGAAAGAUGCAGGCCAAGAAGAAAGUAACGAGAAGGAUUUUUUAGAGCUAGUCGUUUAUAC